CAGACUAUGCUUAAAGUAGCAUCUAUUAUUUACAUUAAUAGAUAAUUUGUGCAAUUCAAAUUAGUUUGA
RNAcentral lists this transfer RNA (69 nucleotides) under Eucorysses grandis. RNAcentral describes it as "tRNA-Val". Lineage: Eukaryota; Metazoa; Arthropoda; Insecta; Hemiptera; Scutelleridae. The record is from RNAcentral.